Molecule: regulatory RNA element, 120 nt
Organism: Candidatus Brocadia sinica JPN1
Lineage: Bacteria; Pseudomonadati; Planctomycetota; Candidatus Brocadiia; Candidatus Brocadiales; Candidatus Brocadiaceae
Rfam family: c-di-GMP-I-GGC riboswitch aptamer
Source: Rfam
UACGAUAAGGGCAAACCCUGAGUAAUCAGGGGACGCAAAGUAAAGGGUCUUUCAACGUACAAGGAUGUAGUUAAAGACGCGCCUUAUCCUUUAGCGAAAAAGAUAGCCUUACUGCCGAAG